RNAcentral lists this small RNA (2119 nucleotides) under Histoplasma capsulatum var. duboisii H88. Its description in RNAcentral is "Histoplasma capsulatum H88 hypothetical RNA". The record is from RNAcentral. Lineage: Eukaryota; Fungi; Ascomycota; Eurotiomycetes; Onygenales; Ajellomycetaceae.
CACCACAGCGGUUUCUCGCUGCCGGGGUAUAUCGAUCGCACAGAUACAACGACUGAUUGCACAUAUGGAGCAAGCUCAUGUUCGCGGAGGAAGUCAAGGAAGCGAUCCUGAUCCCGCAGCUCGUGGCGGGUGUGGGCGAAGAGGAGAGGCCGCGUUAGGGCUCGAAAACGGGGCGAGGCUCGCGAGACGUUUUUCAGAUCCAGAGCCGUGGAUGAUGUGAUGCUGUGCGCGGGUACCUGACGGAGCUUCCUGGAAGACGGAGGAGGCCCUGGUGAGAGGUAGGAGAGGACCUGAUCGAGAAGCUCAUUGGGGAGAGUCUCUAUCGAAGCCACAGGUUGUGUCGAUGAUAGAACUCUGCUGGCCAUGUGGGGGGAAAUAUUAAAAGGGAUUGUUGGGGAUAUUCAUUCUAUUGGUGCAAGAUGGGUGCCUGGGGUAACAAAGUUGAUGUUGGUGAGGUCUGAACAUGGGUCAGGAAUUACGUCAAAGUGAGACUAACUAGUUAGUUGACUAUUUUAUUAGGCUCUGUCAGAACAGCUCAGAUCCGAGAAAACUGUAACUAUAGUUACAGACACUGAUUAUAUCAGUGUGAUUCUCAUCACUGAUAACUGAUAAAAUCUAUUGAAAGUUCUUAUUUAUUGAUAAAUUAAUUUAUACAAUCAACUCUCUAUCACCCACUCACUCAUUUAUAUAUCUAUAUACUUCCAUCAAAACCUUCGUUUUCACAAUUUCAUUUUAUAAUUGUAUAAUCUUGUAAGAAGAUAUAGAUAGUGUGAGGAGUGAUACCAUCGAUACAUAUCAUUAGCAGAUGCCAUUGCUAGAUAUCAUUGAUAGAUAGGCAGGUAGGCAGGCAGAUAGCUAGUAUUCUCUGAAUUGAAUAUUGCCCCAAUACUGAAUAUCAAAUUGAAUUGAAUUAACUAUGAUCUUCUUGAUAACUACAUGAUAAAAUGACAGUAUUUACAAGGAAGGGGAUGCUCGAUUAUCUUUCUCCUCUACAAGUACCGAUUGGAGAGGCGCCGACGAAGAAGCAAUACGAGCAACGAGCGUACCAACAGAUUUCACUCUUGUGGCACUCCACGUGUUGACAACGACUCGGAGCAUCCCUUUGUAAAAGUGGGUUUGGUUUACUGGACUGAUACCGGUUGCUGUUUUCUAUUCUUCACCUCCCGGGCAAAGGCCUCCGGAUCCGCUAACUUGAGAGGAAGAAGAUCCCUAGGCGGCUGCCAGAUUUGCUCCAUGCUUAUCUGAACGUUAUCCAUGCCACUCCAGACGUUGAGCAUACUAUGUCUUUCCUCUGGAGAAAGGGGAGAAAUUUCGAUCAUAGUCUUCAACUCAUCAAUGGAGGGGUGGGCAUAAUCUAUGACCUCGCCAGCUUCGUUGAAGACGCGCAAAAUGCCAUCGUUACCAAUGUGAUGGAAUCCGGCUGACUUAGUCCUCACGUUUUCUGGUAGGCCAUGGUAGUCCACGUUGUUAUUCUGCUUGUCUUGCCAAUAUAUGAAAUCAUGUGGCUAUCAUUGACGCAUACCUCAUGUUAACACUUCUGGAUGGGUGAGAAAGGACAGGGGGAUAUAUCACUCACCCGUCCAUUUUCUCGAUCAAGGACAUCAUUGGUAGCAACGCAAAGGGCGAGGCCAGCGAUGAAGCCCAGAGAGGUAAAGGAGAAAUAGUGCAUUGUUAUCGGAGGUUUUUAAAUCAACCAUGCAAUUGCAGGCAGGCCGAGGCUUGUAGAUUAUAAACCUCAAAGAAAGUAUCGUAUGUUGGUGAUCAACUCAAAAGAUCUGUAUAUAUCUUGCGUUCCAACUAGUUUUGGAGAGUAUUAUGAACAAGAUGAAUCCAGAUCAUAUAUGGCUUUGGCUUGUUAUCUAUCUGGCAAAACAUCGGGGUGACCAAGCUAGCUGAUAUACUAGCAUCCGUCCUGACCAUCUGAAGUACAAAAAGUGUGAAAAGUAUUGUUCAAGGCUCCAUGCAACACAAAAUAGAGAACUAUUACUAGUAAGAGUGCGGCAAUGUCAUUUUAUAAUUUUCAAAGAAAAAUAAAUUAGUGCUUGAAUAUUUAGCUCCAUGGCAGUAUUGAGCUUUAAAUGUUGAAUCAAAGCGGCACUCCUCCGUAGUAAUCAAGCCG